CCUACGGGAGGCAGCAGUGGGGAAUAUUGCACAAUGGGGGAAACCCUGAUGCAGCGACGCCGCGUGAGUGAAGAAGUAUUUCGGUAUGUAAAGCUCUAUCAGCAGGGAAGAAAAUGACGGUACCUGAGUAAGAAGCCCCGGCUAACUACGUGCCAGCAGCCGCUGUAAUACGUAGGGGGCAAGCGUUAUCCGGAUUUACUGGGUGUAAAGGGAGCGUAGACGGCAGCACAAGUCUGGAGUGAAAUGCCGGGGCUUAACCCCGGAACUGCUUUGGAAACUGUGCAGCUAGAGUGCAGGAGAGGUAAGUGGAAUUCGUAGUGUAGCGGUGAAAUGCGUAGAUAUUAGGAGGAACACCAGUGGCGAAGGCGGCUUACUGGACUGUAACUGACGUUGAGGCUCGAAAGCGUGGGGAGCAAACAGGAUUAGAUACCCUUGUAGUC
This 440-nucleotide ribosomal RNA is filed under the name uncultured bacterium. RNAcentral's name for it is "partial 16S ribosomal RNA". It matches the Rfam family "Bacterial small subunit ribosomal RNA", at positions 338 to 795 of the family's 1533-position model. The record is from RNAcentral.